GCCUGGCCAGCUCAGUCGGUAGAGCAUGAUACUCUUAAUCUCAGAGUCGGGGGUUCGAGCCCCUCGUUGGGCG
Non-coding RNA from Daphnia pulex (common water flea), 73 nucleotides. The record is from Rfam. NCBI's taxonomy places the organism in Eukaryota, Metazoa, Arthropoda, Branchiopoda, Diplostraca, Daphniidae.